Seriola dumerili (greater amberjack) is the source of this 69-nucleotide non-coding RNA. The record is from Ensembl. NCBI's taxonomy places the organism in Eukaryota, Metazoa, Chordata, Actinopteri, Carangiformes, Carangidae.
GAGGCCUUAGCUUAAUAAAAGUACCUGUGUUGCAUACAGGAGAUGUGGGUUAGUUUCCCGCAGGUCUUA